AGGACGAACGCUGACGGCAUGCCUAACACAUGCAAGUCGAACGGAGUAAUGACUUCGGUUAUUACUAGUGGCGAACGGGUGAGUAACACGUGAAUAAUCUGCCCUGUACGAGGUGGGAUAACAGCUGGAAACGGCUGCUAAUACCGUAUAUGACCACGCCGAGGCAUCUCGGAGGGGUGAAAGCGCUUAAGCGGUACAGGAUGAGUUCGCGUCCAAUUAGCUAGUUGGUGAGGUAACGGCCCACCAAGGCGACGAUUGGUAGCCGACCUGAGAGGGUGAUCGGCCACACUGGAACUGAGACACGGUCCAGACUCCUACGGGAGGCAGCAGUGGGGAAUAUUGGGCAAUGGAGGAAACUCUUACCCAAGCAAUGCCGCGUGAGUGAUGAAGGUCUUCGGAUUGUAAAGCUCUUUGAUUGGGGACGAAUAAAUGACGGUACCCAAGGAACAAGCCCCGGCUAACUAUGUGCCAGCCGCGGC
Molecule: ribosomal RNA, 479 nt
Filed under: uncultured bacterium
Lineage: Bacteria
Description: bacterial SSU rRNA
Rfam family: Bacterial small subunit ribosomal RNA
Source: RNAcentral